CUGAUCUAUAAUUUUAGUUACUUUUAUCAAAAGUUGUCUGAUGACGCAGAGGAGGGGCAUUUGCUUGCACUGUACUUGCUUGUACUUCUACUUGCCACCAGCAACCGGCUUUGCACUGGUGACAAUAGCGGAUAUUAAGGAGCUCCUGUCGGACCUAUAAUAAAAAGAUCUCAGUUGAUAUAGCCACCAUAUGUUGAGAUCUAUGUGGCCUGACUAGCCGACAUAGUAUUGGACGGCACAUACUGCACUAACAUGCAGCAGAUUAUAUUGCUACAACAAGCAGUUAAAGAGUUGCAACAGCAGAACCAAACAUAUGAGCACAAAUUUGCUGCCCAGGAGAAUAGGCAAUGUCAGAAAAACAUGAAAAUCAGGGGGCCUCAGAGAAUAUUCUGGAGGCCGAGUUGCCACACUUUGCAAGGCGCCUCCUCGUGGCCUUGCGGACAACAAAACAGGCCAAGACACCACCUACAGCUCCAAAGGACCUGGUGGUCCAAUUUCAAAACCAUAAAGAUAAAGCGGCAGUCAUCUUAUCUCUUCGAAGAAAUGUCAUUGGCCUUCCAUGCAGACCUCUCCAAUGGCAUGUUGGCAUGGACACUGUCUCUUCGAUCACUUACCUCCCUCCUGUGAAAAAACAACAUCCACUACUGCUGGAGCCUCUCACACACCUUGAUAGUUUCUCAGGGGGACUCAACGUACACGAUCUUGAAGUAGCCGCAACGACUCUACAAAACUUGGCCCUUCUCUUGAUUCGCUUGGUCCACCUGAACAGGCUGCAGCGACCAUGAGUUCUCAUGACUGGGACCCGGCGCACACACCAGAGUCCGUGCCAAGACCAUCCACUUCGGACUCUUAUGCCACAGUCUCAACUUGAACACUAGCUGGAAUACACCAGAAUAGCCCAUCUGGAGAACCACACAAUUUAAAAGUUUUACUUCCACUUGUUUUUUUUUUCCGCUUUAACAUUCUAUUAUCACUUGUAGCAUAG
Pelobates cultripes (western spadefoot toad) is the source of this 985-nucleotide non-coding RNA. The record is from the annotation of a GenBank genome assembly. Lineage: Eukaryota; Metazoa; Chordata; Amphibia; Anura; Pelobatidae.